Molecule: non-coding RNA, 194 nt
Organism: Xyrichtys novacula (pearly razorfish)
Lineage: Eukaryota; Metazoa; Chordata; Actinopteri; Labriformes; Labridae
Source: the annotation of a GenBank genome assembly
CAGGUUUAACUUCUGAAGCUGCUGUCUGAGCUGAAGGUGAACUUAAACCUGGUCUAACAUCACCAUAAACGCAGACAGCAGCUUCAGAAGAUAAACCUGGUUUAACUUCUGAAGCUGCUGUCUGCGUUUAUGGUGACGUUAGACCAGGUUUAACUUCAUCUUCAGCUCAGACAGCAGCUUCAGAACUUUGAAAA